Molecule: ribosomal RNA, 234 nt
Filed under: Escherichia coli
Lineage: Bacteria; Pseudomonadati; Pseudomonadota; Gammaproteobacteria; Enterobacterales; Enterobacteriaceae
Description: partial 23S ribosomal RNA
Rfam family: Bacterial large subunit ribosomal RNA
Source: RNAcentral
GUUAAGCGACUAAGCGUACACGGUGGAUGCCCUGGCAGUCAGAGGCGAUGAAGGACGUGCUAAUCUGCGAUAAGCGUCGGUAAGGUGAUAUGAACCGUUAUAACCGGCGAUUUCCGAAUGGGGAAACCCAGUGUGUUUCGACACACUAUCAUUAACUGAAUCCAUAGGUUAAUGAGGCGAACCGGGGGAACUGAAACAUCUAAGUACCCCGAGGAAAAGAAAUCAACCGAGAUU